GGUGCAAAGGAUAUCGCCAAUCUUACAGAUACCAUUGAAUGGACUUGAAGCUGUUCUCCAGGAGGUGAAACUAGCACAAGGAGACAAAGCUUACCUCACCCUGGCAUGCCAAGACACACCUUGGCAUGCCAUGCAAGUGCUUUGAAGCCAUUGUGUCUGACCCAGUUUCUGGGAAGAAGACUCACUUUGCUUGGCUGGAUGGUGAGAUCCACUGGGGUAAAUUUUCAGAGUCAAUCAAGGCAGAAAAUCGGAUUCCUUUUGCGGUUAAAACGUGUUCUUCCUGCAACCGGCAAUAUAAAGACUGUGUGGGCUUCACUGGAAAUGGAAGACGAGGAGAGUACCCUCGUUACUACUGUGA
This is a long non-coding RNA of Fundulus heteroclitus (mummichog), 358 nucleotides long. RefSeq lists it as uncharacterized. The record is from RefSeq and is a predicted model, not a curated record. The transcript is spliced from 3 exons. NCBI's taxonomy places the organism in Eukaryota, Metazoa, Chordata, Actinopteri, Cyprinodontiformes, Fundulidae.